This 644-nucleotide ribosomal RNA is filed under the name uncultured bacterium. Its description in RNAcentral is "bacterial SSU rRNA". It matches the Rfam family "Bacterial small subunit ribosomal RNA", at positions 69 to 695 of the family's 1533-position model. The record is from RNAcentral.
ACGGAGAAGAGCUUGCUCUUCAAUGUUAGUGGCGAACGGGUGCGUAACACGUGAGCAACUUGCCUUCUGGUGGGGGAUAGCCGGUCCAAAGGCCGGGUAAUACCGCGUACCGCAUCGAGACCGCAUGGUUUUGAUGUGAAAGCGGCCGCAAGGUCGCGCCGGAAGAGAGGCUCGCGGCGUAUCAGCUUGUUGGUGGGGUAACGGCCUACCAAGGCUACGACGCGUAGCUGGUCUGAGAGGAUGAUCAGCCACAUUGGGACUGAGAUACGGCCCAGACUCCUACGGGAGGCAGCAGUGGGGAAUAUUGCGCAAUGGCCGAAAGGCUGACGCAGCGACGCCGUGUGUGGGAUGAAGGCCCUUGGGUUGUAAACCACUGUCAGGAGGGACGAAUACUCGGCUUCAAAUAGUUGACCGAGGGUGACGGUACCUCCAGAGGAAGCACCGGCUAACUCCGUGCCAGCAGCCGCGGUAAUACGGAGGGUGCGAGCGUUGUCCGGAUUCACUGGGCGUAAAGCGCGCGUAGGCGGUUUUGUAUGUCAUGUGUGAAAUCCCGGAGCUCAACUCCGGGGCUGCAUGUGAAACUGCGAGACUAGAGCUCGGUAGAGGCAAGUGGAAUUCCCGGUGUAGCGGUGGAAUGCGUAGAU